CAACUACUCCCUCCGUCCUAAAAUUCUUGUCUUAGGUUUGUCUAGAUAUGAAUGUAUGUAGUCACGUUUUAGUAUUNNGAUACAUCCAUUUCUAGAUAAAUCUAAGACAAUAAUUUGGGACGGAGGGAGUAUUUG
Molecule: non-coding RNA, 135 nt
Organism: Hordeum vulgare subsp. vulgare (domesticated barley)
Lineage: Eukaryota; Viridiplantae; Streptophyta; Magnoliopsida; Poales; Poaceae
Source: Rfam